ACCCUACGGGGCGCAGCAGUGGGGAAUAUUGGGCAAUGGGCGCAAGCCUGACCCAGCAACGCCGCGUGAAGGAAGAAGGCUUUCGGGUUGUAAACUUCUUUUAUCAGGGACGAAGCAAGUGACGGUACCUGAUGAAUAAGCCACGGCUAACUACGUGCCAGCAGCCGCGGUAAUACGUAGGCGGCGAGCGUUAUCCGGAUUUACUGGGUGUAAAGGGCGUGUAGGCGGGGAUGCAAGUCAGAUGUGAAAACUAUGGGAUCAACCCAUAGCCUGCAUUUGAAACUGUAUUUCUUGA
This 295-nucleotide ribosomal RNA is filed under the name uncultured bacterium. RNAcentral describes it as "partial 16S ribosomal RNA". It matches the Rfam family "Bacterial small subunit ribosomal RNA", at positions 335 to 645 of the family's 1533-position model. The record is from RNAcentral.